Long non-coding RNA from Topomyia yanbarensis, 1460 nucleotides. RefSeq lists it as uncharacterized. The transcript is spliced from 4 exons. The record is from RefSeq and is a predicted model, not a curated record. Lineage: Eukaryota; Metazoa; Arthropoda; Insecta; Diptera; Culicidae.
UGCAGAUACAACAGAAGCGGUCAGAUCAAAACGUGGUGUGCGGUGGAUGGUGCGUGCCAGUAAAAAAAUCUCGACUAAAAAUAGUUUUGCGGGACUAUAUUCAUCCUCAGCAGAUUAAAACAACCACUGAAGGCUCACACGGCCUAGAUGCGGUUUUCCGCGUGCUAAUCGAGCACCGAAGGAUUGAUGGUAAUAAUACGCGGCAUACCUAACGAUCGUCCCGUUGAGUUCUUCCUGCAUGUCCUACCUUAGAACCGAAACAUCAUACGAUACGGACAGCAAUAUUCACUUAGGUCUCGCUCAGCUCGACCUCUCAAGGUCAAAGAUAAGCGACCACAACCAUUGCCGCAGAGUAAAUCCUAACCACACUUCCAUCAUCUGAAAGCACGCCGAAUCGUGAUAAAUUCCACGCAAUACCAUCUAAUAGUGCAUCUGAUAGGUUAGAGCGAAGCAAUAGUUACGACAAAUCAUCAAAAGCCCAUCAUCAGAGGGCUCUUUUAUUUGCAGUCCAGACCCCUCAUCUUUACCAGAGCGAAGACGAUCUCGCACCAGUAAUAUCCAGAUAGCGGAGCGAGUGCGAAGCCGGACGGGCCACCACCACUCACUUUCGUCCACCAAAUUAUUCCAAAAGUCGUUAUUCUACACUAUUUAGAACUUCAAAAUUGCACCAUUUUCACGACGAUUUAUAAUAUAAAAUCAAACAAAAUAUUCAUAUACGGAUGACUCCAAAAGAAUAAAAAUGUAUGUUCGCCACCAAUAUGAUAUCACAGAUGGUCGAACUACAUUAAAAAUGAAAUGAAUUUCAUGGUGGUUUAUAGUCGAAAAUUAUCUUGGAUUUAAAAAGGCAGUGCACACUAAUAUUUAAUCUUGUUGUUUUCCAUAUAAGAACUGCGCUGAUUACGACUGGCAUAAAUUUUGAAAUCUUUUCCGUUGAAAAUACCUAUAUUGCGUGGUGUUACAACCGAUUGUUACGAAAAGUAACCGGUUCAAAAUCUUGGACUUAAAAAUAACAGCACGGUGUCUUUGUUGAACAAAUUUAUUCAAAAAAAUUCGGCAUCUGAAAAACUUCGGGAUAUGAAAGAAUGAACUUUUCCUUUCAUUUGAACGUAAAAUUUGAAUAUUCUGUCGGGGGGUCUAGAACAACUUUUUAAUUUAAAGUUUUUUGAUUGAAAACUUAAGUUUUUUAAUGAAAUUAAUUCGCAUUUUCGCAACUAAUUGAUACUAUAGACGUUCAAAAAAUACUAAAAAUGAGAAUCUGAUGAACAAUCUCAUUGUCUACAACUUCGUAGAAUGCUAUAAAUCGAUGUAAAAUCACCCGAGAAAGUUAUUAAAGUUAUUAAAAUUUAAGAAGUCGAUUAACAAGGACAUUCUCAGCAGAAAUAAUAUAUUUUCAGAUUCCUCCGGAUCUUGGGCGGAAAUGACACUUUAUGAACAAGGAGGUAUGCAAAGGUGUUGACUAA